GAUGAACGCUGGCGGCGUGCCUAACACAUGCAAGUCGAACGGAAAGGCCCUGCGCUUGUGGGGUGCUCGAGUGGCGAACGGGGGAGUAACACGCGAGUAACCUGUACCUGAAAGAGGGAUAACACCAGGAAACAGGGGAGAAAAUCGGAGAGGAGCUACUGAAGCACGGGGGGGGAUGGAAAGAGACGGCGGUGUGGGAUGGACUCGCGGGUUAUCAGCUGGAUGGUGGGGUAGGGGCUUACCAAGGCUUUGACGGGUAGCCGGCCUGAGAGGGUGACCGGCCACCUUGGUCCUGAGAUACGGCCCAGACUCCUACGGGCGGCAGCGGUCGGGAGUCUUGCACAAUGGGCGGGAGCCUGAUGCAGCAACGCCGCGUGCGUGAUGACGGCCUUCGGGUUGUAAACCGCUUUCGCCUGUGGCGAAGCGUGAGUGACGGUACUGGGUCAAGAAGCACCGGCUAACUACGUG
Molecule: ribosomal RNA, 468 nt
Filed under: uncultured bacterium
Lineage: Bacteria
Description: partial 16S ribosomal RNA
Rfam family: Bacterial small subunit ribosomal RNA
Source: RNAcentral